This 432-nucleotide ribosomal RNA is filed under the name uncultured bacterium. RNAcentral describes it as "partial 16S ribosomal RNA". It matches the Rfam family "Bacterial small subunit ribosomal RNA", at positions 338 to 795 of the family's 1533-position model. The record is from RNAcentral.
CCUACGGGUGGCAGCAGUGGGGAAUAUUGGACAAUGGGCGCAAGCCUGAUCCAGCCAUGCCGCGUGAGUGAUGAAGGCCUUAGGGUUGUAAAGCUCUUUCGCUGGGGAAGCGGUACCCAGAGAAGAAGCCCCGGCUAACUUCGUGCCAGCAGCCGCGGUAAUACGAAGGGGGCUAGCGUUGUUCGGAAUUACUGGGCGUAAAGCGCACGUAGGCGGACUUGUCAGUCAGAGGUGAAAUCCCGAAGCUUAACUUCGGAACUGCCUUUGAUACUGCAAGUCUUGAGGAUGAGAGAGGUAAGUGGAACUGCGAGUGUAGAGGUGAAAUUCGUAGAUAUUCGCAAGAACACCAGUGGCGAAGGCGGCUUACUGGCUCAUUCUGACGCUGAGGUGCGAAAGCGUGGGGAGCAAACAGGAUUAGAUACCCUUGUAGUC